CAGUCGCCGCGGGAAUACGUAGGGUGCAAGCGUUAAUCGGAAUUACUGGGCGUAAAGCGUGCGCAGGCGGUUCGUUAAGACAGAUGUGAAAUCCCCGGGCUUAACCUGGGAACUGCAUUUGUGACUGGCGGGCUAGAGUAUGGCAGAGGGGGGUAGAAUUCCACGUGUAGCAGUGAAAUGCGUAGAGAUGUGGAGGAAUACCGAUGGCGAAGGCAGCCCCCUGGGCCAAUACUGACGCUCAUGCACGAAAGCGUGGGGAGCAAACAGGAUUAGAUACCCCGGUAGUCCCUGUCUCUUAUAA
RNAcentral lists this ribosomal RNA (301 nucleotides) under uncultured bacterium. Its description in RNAcentral is "partial 16S ribosomal RNA". It matches the Rfam family "Bacterial small subunit ribosomal RNA", at positions 509 to 809 of the family's 1533-position model. The record is from RNAcentral.